Molecule: non-coding RNA, 45 nt
Organism: Schistosoma mattheei
Lineage: Eukaryota; Metazoa; Platyhelminthes; Trematoda; Strigeidida; Schistosomatidae
Source: Rfam
AUCCAGCUGAUGAGACCCAAAUAAGAUGAAACGCGCGUCCUGGAU